AUGAACGCUAGCUACAGGCUUAACACAUGCAAGUCGAGGGGCAGCAUUGGGAUAGCUUGCUAUCCAGAUGGCGACCGGCGCACGGGUGAGUAACGCGUAUCCAACCUUCCCUAUAGUAGAGAAUAGCCCGGCGAAAGUCGGAUUAAUGCUCUAUGUUGUGUUUUGAGGACAUCUGACGAACACCAAAGGUUCACCGCUAUAGGAUGGGGAUGCGUCUGAUUAGCUUGUUGGCGGGGUAACGGCCCACCAAGGCGACGAUCAGUAGGGGUUCUGAGAGGAAGGUCCCCCACAUUGGUACUGAGACACGGACCAAACUCCUACGGGAGGCAGCAGUGAGGAAUAUUGGUCAAUGGGCGAGAGCCUGAACCAGCCAAGUAGCGUGCAGGAUGAACCUGCCCUAUGGGUUGUAAACUGCUUUUAUCAGGGAAUAAAGUGCGGCACGUGUGCCGUCUUGUAUGUACCUGAUGAAUAAGGACCGGCUAAUUCCGUGCCAGCAGCCGC
RNAcentral lists this ribosomal RNA (501 nucleotides) under uncultured bacterium. RNAcentral describes it as "bacterial SSU rRNA". It matches the Rfam family "Bacterial small subunit ribosomal RNA", at positions 29 to 518 of the family's 1533-position model. The record is from RNAcentral.